Molecule: ribosomal RNA, 490 nt
Filed under: uncultured bacterium
Lineage: Bacteria
Description: partial 16S ribosomal RNA
Rfam family: Bacterial small subunit ribosomal RNA
Source: RNAcentral
AUUGAACGCUGGCGGCAGGCCUAACACAUGCAAGUCGAACGGUAACAGGGAUCAGCUUGCUGAUUCGCUGACGAGUGGCGGACGGGUGAGUAAUGUCUGGGAAACUGCCUGAUGGAGGGGGAUAACUACUGGAAACGGUAGCUAAUACCGCAUAACGUCGCAAGACCAAAGAGGGGGACCUUCGGGACUCUUGCCAUCGGAUGUGCCCAGAUGGGAUUAGCUAGUAGGUGGGGUAACGGCUCACCUAGGCGACGAUCCCUAGCUGGUCUGAGAGGAUGACCAGCCACACUGGAACUGAGACACGGUCCAGACUCCUACGGGAGGCAGCAGUGGGGAAUAUUGCACAAUGGGCGCAAGCCUGAUGCAGCCAUGCCGCGUGUAUGAAGAAGGCCUUCGGGUUGUAAAGUACUUUCAGCGGGGAGGAAGGGAGUAAAGUUAAUACCUUUGCUCAUUGACGUUACCCGCAGAAGAAGCACCGGCUAGCUCCGUG